This 588-nucleotide ribosomal RNA is filed under the name uncultured bacterium. RNAcentral describes it as "partial 16S ribosomal RNA". It matches the Rfam family "Bacterial small subunit ribosomal RNA", at positions 355 to 1375 of the family's 1533-position model. The record is from RNAcentral.
UGGGGAAUUUUGGACAAUGGGCGAAAGCCUGAUCCAGCAAUGCCGCGUGUGUGAAGAAGGCCUUCGGGUUGUAAAGCACUUUUGUCCGGAAAGAAAUCCUCUGGGUUAAUACCUCGGGGGGAUGACGGUACCGGAAGAAUAAGCACCGGCUAACUACGUGCCAGCAGCCGCGGUAAUACGUAGGGUGCAAGCGUUAAUCGGAAUUACUGGGCGUAAAGCGUGCGCAGGCGGUUUUGUAAGACGGAUGUGAAAUCCCCGGGCUUAACCUGGGAACUGCAUUCGUGACUGCAAGGCUAGAGUAUGGCAGAGGGGGGUAGAAUUCCACGUGUAGCAGUGAAAUGCGUAGAGAUGUGGAGGAAUACCGAUGGCGAAGGCAGCCCCCUGGGCCAAAUACUGACGCUCAUGCACGAAAGCGUGGGGAGCAAAACAGGAUUCAGAUACCCUGGUAGUCCACGCCCUAAACGAUGUCAACUAGUUGUUGGGGAUUCAUUUCCUUAGUAACGUAGCUAACGCGUGAAGUUGACCGCCUGGGGAGUACGGUCGCAAGAUUAAAACUUAAAUGAAUUGACGGGGUCAUAGCUGUUUCCU